GACGAACGCUGGCGGCGUGCUUAACACAUGCAAGUCGAACGGAAAGGCCCCCUUGUGGGGUACUCGAGUGGCGAACGGGUGAUUAACACGUGAGUAACCUACCCCUGACUUUUGGAUAACUUCAGGAAACUGGGGCUAAUACCGCAUAGGAGCUCCUGCUGCAUGGUGGGGGUUGGAAAGUUUCGGCGGUUGGGGAUGGACUCGCGGCUUAUUAGCUUGUUGGUGGGGUAGUGGCUCACCAAGGCUUUGACGGGUAGCCGGCCUGAGAGGGUGACCGGCCACAUUGGGACUGAGAUACGGCCCAGACUCCUACGGGAGGCAGCAGUGGGGAAUAUUGCACAAUGGGCGGAAGCCUGAUGCAGCAACGCCGCGUGCGGGAUGACGGCCUUCGGGUUGUAAACCGCUUUCGCCUGUGACGAAGCGUGAGUGACGGUAAUGGGUAAAGAAGCACCGGCUAACUACGUG
This 465-nucleotide ribosomal RNA is filed under the name uncultured bacterium. Its description in RNAcentral is "partial 16S ribosomal RNA". It matches the Rfam family "Bacterial small subunit ribosomal RNA", at positions 28 to 507 of the family's 1533-position model. The record is from RNAcentral.